GUAGGUGAACCUGCGGAAGGAUCAUUAACACAAUACAUUUACCCAAAUGUAUUUUAACCCCCCUUUGCAAACUUGUUUCAUCUUGUUUUUCCCGGAUUAUUCGCGUUACAGCGUAACAAACUGUACACGUGUGUGAUCUGUGGUUUCAAACCUUUUAACCCCUUGAACUGUCUUUGACUGAAACUCUGAAUAGUUUUUUUACACUUCGGUGUGAAAGAUUAUUCUGCCAUAUAUCAAACGCUGAACAACUCUUAGCAACGGAUAUCUUGGCUCUC
RNAcentral lists this unclassified non-coding RNA (275 nucleotides) under rhizosphere metagenome. RNAcentral's name for it is "partial ribosomal RNA internal transcribed spacer region". The record is from RNAcentral.